AUGGUAGAAAGAGAGCGGAGGAGCGGCGGCGCGAGGAGCAGGGGAAGAGGGGAUGGAUGGUUGCUGCUGAUCAAUCCUUCUCGAUCUGGGAUUCUGGCUCGCAGCGAAAGAAGGGUCGGGGAUUCUGGCGGACUCAAGGUGGUCGGCCAGAAGCGCGCCCUCCGCCACACCAUGAGGAUGGACGACAAGCUUCAGGUCCUCCAGGACGUGUGGUACCACAAGGUGGACGUAACGCACGGCACGGGCGUCUUCAUGAUCGACGGCUCCAAGUUUUCCGCCAAGAGCACCCCCGAUGAUCUUGAGCUGGAGGACGGGGAUCUGGUCGAUUUCUUUGAGCAUAUGGAUGGUGGAGCGUUAGUUGCUCUGCAUUGA
Molecule: ribosomal RNA, 372 nt
Filed under: Triticum aestivum (bread wheat)
Lineage: Eukaryota; Viridiplantae; Streptophyta; Magnoliopsida; Poales; Poaceae
Description: partial small subunit ribosomal RNA
Source: RNAcentral